AGAGUUUGAUCCUGGCUCAGAACGAACGCUGGCGGCGUGCUUAACACAUGCAAGUCGAACGAGAAAGCUUCUUUCGGGAAGUGAGUAGAGUGGCGCACGGGUGAGUAACGCGUAGGUAAUCUACCCUUAUAUUUGGGAUAACAUUGGGAAACUGGUGCUAAUACCGAAUGGUCUUCAUUGCUUUGGGGCGAUGGAGUAAAGGUGGCCUCUUCAUGAAAGCUACCGUGUAGGGAUGAGCCUGCGUACCAUUAGCUAGUAGGUGGGGUAAUGGCCCACCUAGGCUACGAUGGUUAGCGGGUCUGAGAGGAUGAUCCGCCACACUGGAACUGGAACACGGACCAGACUCCUACGGGAGGCAGCAGUGAGGAAUAUUGCGCAAUGGGGGAAACCCUGACGCAGCGACGCCGCGUGAGUGAGGAAGGUUUUCGGAUCGUAAAGCUCUGUCAGAAGGGAAGAAGUGUUAUACAGUUAAUACCUGUAUAAUUUGACGGUACCUUCAGAGGAAGCACCGGCUAACUCCGUGCCAGCAGCCGCGGUAAUACGGAGGGUGCAAGCGUUGUUCGGAUUACUGGGCGUAAGGGCGCGUAGGCGCCUGAUAAGUCAGAUGUGAAGCCACGGCCCACCGUGGAGUGCUUUGAACUGUCAGCUUGAUAUCGGAGGGGAUGGGAUUCCGGGAGAGUGAAUCGAGAGUCGGAGGACACGGGGCAAGCGCAUCUGGCGAUAUGCGUGAGCCGAACGGGGACAACAGAUA
RNAcentral lists this ribosomal RNA (751 nucleotides) under uncultured bacterium. RNAcentral's name for it is "bacterial SSU rRNA". It matches the Rfam family "Bacterial small subunit ribosomal RNA", at positions 8 to 869 of the family's 1533-position model. The record is from RNAcentral.